Bos taurus (domestic cattle) is the source of this 3740-nucleotide long non-coding RNA. NCBI's taxonomy places the organism in Eukaryota, Metazoa, Chordata, Mammalia, Artiodactyla, Bovidae. The record is from Ensembl.
AUAGUCCUCAUUCAAAUCUUGCUACUUGUCCCAACAUUGUCCUUCAUAACAAUGUUCGUUCUAGGCUAGUAUCCAAAAGAGGAUCAUGCGUUGCAUUUAGUUUUCAUGUCUCUUUCAUCUCCUUUGACUUGAAACCUUUGUCUGUUAUGACACUGACAUUUUCGAACAAUUUUCUCUCAAUUUAGGCUUAUGUUUCCUCAUGAUUAUGCCUUACCACUGAAUUUUUGAUGUUGUAUUUUUCAGUUUAACAUAUCCAAAGCACAUGAUGUCAAUUUGUAUCCAUUAAAGAAAAAAUUUAAAGACCCUCAUUAAAGAUGAUUCCACAAUUUAACACUUGUAUCUGUGAACAAAGAUGCAUAUUCAAGGACAUUUAUUUUCUCAUCACUCUCUCAGCUUAUUUCUCAAAUGCCUCCUAACUGUUCUCCCUAUUUCUACAGUGGCCCCUCUAUAGUCUCUUUUCCACACAUCAUCCAGAAUAAUUUUUAAAAAAUCUCAUCACAUUUCCCUGUGCUCAUAAUGUUCCUCUAAGGAAAAAAAUCCAAAAUUUUCUACAUGGCUUCAAGAUGCCACAGGAUCCAGCUUCAUCUAUAACUUCAUUAACUAUUCAGUUCAGUUCAGUCACUCAGUCGUGUCUGACUCUUUGUGACCCCAGGAACCACAGCAUGCCAGGCCUCCUGGUCCAUCACCAACUCCCGGAGUCCACCCAAACCCAUGUCCACUGAGUUGGUGACGCCAUCCAUUAACUGUUACAUUUUCACUAACUCACCGGACAAGGACACCCCAGCCAAGGGUGUUUGUACUUGCUUUUCUCCCCCAGCUAUUCAAAUGGCUUGUAAAGGUCUUUAUUAGGUCUCCACUGAAGAGUCACCUCUUCUGAGAAGCCUUCCGUAAGUAUCCUGAUGAAAACAGCACCCCAUCACUUAUUGCUGUAUGACACUGCAUUGUAUAUUCCCCUUUGCUUAUUGUCAGUCUUCAUUUCCCUACAUUACAUCUCUAGAGUAAGCUCUAUCGAGGGCAGAGAGUUGUUUUUCUCCUAGAGCCCCAGUGCCUAGAAUACUGCCCAGCAUAUGUGGGCUUUCAAAUGCCUGUCAAGUCAGUGAAGAUGACUUUCAUUCCUUGGGACUUUUGCAUUCACCAUACUUUCUGCCUGGCUUCCCCUCACCCUUCUCUUUGCACAGCUAGCUUUUUCAUUUCUUUAGGUCUCAGCUUAAAUGUUUUCCAUAAGGACAGAAACUACCAUGGCUAUCUCAUUCACGACUAUAUCCUCAAGGCCUGCAAUAGUUCCUGGCAAAUAAAAGGCAUUCAAGAAAUUUGUUGGAUGGAUUUUUAAUAGCUAAAAACUGGAAAGAAUCCAAAUGCUACAGACUGUUGAAGAAUGAGGUAACACCAUGUUCAUUGGCAUAAAACGAUGUCCAAGAUAUACUUAAUGUAAAAGGCAACAAGCAAAACUGCGAUUCCUUUUAUGUAGUUAAUAUUAGGUGCACAGAAAAAAAUAGUAAAAAAACACUAGAUUGGACCUCAGUGAUCAUUUGUGGGUGAUGGGCUUCCCGGGUGUCUCUAGUGGUAAAGAACCCUCCUGCCAAUGCAGGAGACAUAAGAGACACAGGUUCAGUCUCUGGGUCAGGAAGAUCCCCUGCAGGAGGAUAUGGAAACCCAUUCCAGUAGCCUUGCCUGGAGAAUCUCAUGGACAGAGGAGCCUGGGGGGCUACAGUGCAUAGGGUCGCACACAGUUGGACACAACUGAAGGGACUUAGCAUGCCCACACAAAAUAUUAGAACAGAUUUUAACUCUCUAUUUUAUAAAUUUCUGUAUUGCAAACUACUUUUUAAAAACAAAUACUAAAAAAAUAAAAACAAAUACUAACCUUUGAGCACUUAGUAUAUGACAGUUACUGUGGUAAACAUUUUGUGUGCAGGAUUUCAUGAUAUCUUCUCAAUAAUCUUAUGAGAUAGGUCCUGAUACCAUCAUCCCCAUUCUCGAUGAGGAAAUUGGUUCAGGGACAUUAAAUAGUUCACUCAAGAUCACACAGCAGACCUAACACACUACAACAGCUCCCUGUGUUUCCAUAAUUUACAAAAAGAAAGAAAGGAAAAUAAGCUGAAACUAGGGGUAAUAGUUCAGGAUCCAGGUUUUACACAAAAGAUGCUAAGUAAAUUUGGCUCCCUAGAAACCAGGGCAAAGAGAAAAAUAUGAUCAAUUAUGAGAUCCUUGGUGCUUCAAAGAUAAAAAAAGCAAACCACUCAUCAGGAGAAACAUCUUUACCAAGUGCUGAGGUUUAACAGAACUUCUGCAUGAACCUCAUAAUUAUAGCAGUGUUCAAUCAAGUGAUCUACAGUUUCAGUAACAUACCUGUAUACCCAGGUAUCUUCUGGCCAACUACAAAUGGAAGUUCACUGAAAGCAAUUCCAUGAGGAACCAACUUCAUACAGCCUGGGUGUCAGAUCUGGUGGUAUGGCUAGACCCGUAGUUAAAAUCGGAUGUGUGGCUUAAUCCUCCAGCAAACUCCUAGAAUAGUGCACAUUCAACCUAUUAAAGACUGUUAGGCAGAAGGAGGAGACAAGAUACAAAUAUAUGUAUGACUGAGUCCCUUCGAUGUUCACCUGAAACUAUCAUAACAUUGUUUAUCGGCUGUCCCACAAUAUAAAAGUUUAAAAAGAAUUGGGACACAAGAUGUGACAUCAUCUUAGAUUUCAACCCUGGUAAAAUUUCCAGGUAGGCUGUGUUAGUUUUAUUCUUCUUUAACAGAUGAGUAAACUGAGACUCAGAGAGUCUAAAAAAUGUCAGUUCAGUUCAGUCAGUCUGACUCUUUGCAACCCCAAGGACUGCAGCACAACAGGCCUCCCUGUCCAUCACCAACUCCUGGAGUUUACCCAAACUCAUGUCAGAGCCAGCCCUAAAUCUGUGUCUUAGGGAUCCCUUCCUCAGCCAUGCUUGCCAUCCACACCUCAAUAAAAUAGCUGAUGCCCUCAGAAUCUCUCUGUGGAUGGUGGGCUCAGGACCUAGGAGAGAGUCGUCUUGCACUGGAAGGCAGCUGGUUAAGGGAAAGUGGGGCCCAGCGAGUGAGGAAGCACACGUUUCCCACUCUAAUCCCUGACACCUUGUACCCCAAAAAGGGAAGUAAAGCUCACAUUACAUAGAUGAAGAAACGCCACCUCCACCCCCAAACAUAAAAACAAUCUUAAAGCCUACACCUGACUUCAGUCACUUUUCUUUACAAGCUGCGAAUAAGUGGGCCCUCAGCUUGGGGAGUUAGGGGAGAUUUCCUGGAGAGAAGAGACGAAAAAGGGCACGUGGGGGCUCAUUGCAGGGCAGGGUUGGGCAGGGAGGAAACAGAGGGUCCAGGCCCUUCCUCCACCACACGCUCAGGCUUUCCAAGUCCAAGGAGAAGGAAGGAGUAACAGGACACCCACUCAGAGAUCUCUAUGAUCCCUUUUCGCCCUCUCCCCACCAUCCUGCAAAAACCUGAAAUCAAGGAAGAGCCUCAAGCCGGUGGUGGUUAAAAAAAAAAAAAAAGGCAAAAGUACAGGUGACAGGUGCACCCAGCCCCAGCGCAUAGCUGCGGCGGCAGGAGAACGGCGCGCGUGCUCACAGACGCCUGCCGCCGGGCCUCGCGCGCCCCCAGCUCAAGCCUUCCUCUUCUUCAGGCGGCCGCGCUCCACCGCUUCCCCCGCGGGACUCUCGUCCCCGCUGUCGCUGCUGGCCGGCGGCCGCAGGACUCCCCUCUUGACGCGGUACUCGGG